RNAcentral lists this transfer RNA (73 nucleotides) under Histoplasma capsulatum G186AR. RNAcentral describes it as "tRNA-Val (TAC) (tRNA-Val-TAC-1-1)". It matches the Rfam family "tRNA". From Rfam's summary of the family: Transfer RNA (tRNA) molecules are approximately 80 nucleotides in length. Their secondary structure includes four short double-helical elements and three loops (D, anti-codon, and T loops). RNAcentral also lists the same sequence under 7 other names. The record is from RNAcentral. Lineage: Eukaryota; Fungi; Ascomycota; Eurotiomycetes; Onygenales; Ajellomycetaceae.
GAUCGAUUGGCCCAGUGGUCAAGGCGCCCGCUUUACACGCGGGAGAUCGCAGGUUCGAUCCCUGCAUCGAUCA